This 194-nucleotide long non-coding RNA is filed under the name Spermophilus dauricus (Daurian ground squirrel). RNAcentral's name for it is "KCNQ1 overlapping transcript 1 conserved region 2 (ENSSDAG00000022791.1)". It matches the Rfam family "KCNQ1 overlapping transcript 1 conserved region 2". Lineage: Eukaryota; Metazoa; Chordata; Mammalia; Rodentia; Sciuridae. The record is from RNAcentral.
CCGACCCCUGGUGUGGGAGUGGGGCUGCUAGAGCCACCCCAUGUGAGCUCAGGAAAGGGAGGAAUGUCACUGAGGCUGGCUGUGGCUGGGAUAACUCAGCCAGCUGUGGGUUUUUUCUUGGGGCCCAGGGAGACCUGAGCAGAGAUGGAGGCCCCUCUCCCGGCCCCCAACACACACACUAGGACCUUUCUUCC